This is a long non-coding RNA of Cucumis sativus (cucumber), 1784 nucleotides long. RefSeq lists it as uncharacterized. The record is from RefSeq and is a predicted model, not a curated record. Lineage: Eukaryota; Viridiplantae; Streptophyta; Magnoliopsida; Cucurbitales; Cucurbitaceae. The transcript is spliced from 2 exons.
UUACUUCUUCACGCACGCGGCCCCCCCUCCCCCUCCUUCUUCUUAUUUUCUUUUCUUUUUUUCUUCUUUCGCUCACCCUAGCCGCCAUAACGCUUCGCCGGCCGUAUUUCUUUCUCUUCUGUUCGACGCCGACCGACAGCCCUAAGUUCGCGAAGCCGCCACCAUCUUCCUCUUUUCCAUUCGACGAAGCCCAGCAGCCGUACACGUCGCCGUUCGUCGGGCUAAAGCCAGAGCGUCAUCGCUCAGUCCCUUCAUUCUGUCUCUGUUCGUCCUGGUUCGUGAAGCCGCCGCUCGAUUCAUCAACCAUCCGCAGGACGAUUCAAUUACCCUAGGAGUUAUGCGUCGUUCGGCUUGCACAAGCCGUCUGCCGAACGUCCGGCGCCGCCACGACUUUUCAACUUCCAGUCGUGAGUUACAAGCCAGCUUACACUCGGAUCGGUUUGCACGAUUUUUCGUUGGGAUCGUUAGUCACUACCUCUUUCGUCUGUAAAUCAUCAAAGUUGUUUUGUUGGUAACAAUUUAAGUUAUGGUUUGUAAUUGUUUCAAAGUGUUCAAGCGUUAUGGUUGGAAUAGUUGAUUAAUUUGUUAUUUGAUUCUUGGAGGUGUUGGAAGUAAAGUUGGAUCACUUGAAUUCACAACCAAUUUGUGAAUUUUUGAGUUUGGUUAACCAAUACCUUGGUAAGCUAAAUUUUUACCUUGAGGAAAUUAAGUGGGAGUUGUAUCGUGGAAAUAAUUGAAUUAUUUUAUCCUUAUAAUUAGGUGUCUUUUAUCGGAUAUAGUUGUUCGAGAAAUUGAGUAACCUUGAGAUAAGGGACUUUCUACAAAAGUUAAGAUGUAUUGACUGUAUGGACCGUAUUGCUAUAUUGCUAUAUCUGAACUGAGUAGGGAUGACAGUUAUGAUGUAUAUGUUUUAAUGUGGACUUAAUGUUUAAUGUAUAUUGUGUUUGACUGAGAAAAAUUUAUAUAUACAUGCAUGGUUUGUUGUGGACUUGUGGUUGAGUACAUGUUGUGAUUAUAUAAAGUGUCGAUUAAAUUGGUAGAUUGUUUUUUAGACUGAAUGUAUGAUAUACUGUUAUGGUUUCGUACUGAAUGUAUGAAUCUCAUGAUGUGUGAACGGAGGAGACGUCAUUGUUGUGCCCUUGGACUGAUGGGGAGGUUAUGAUUAUUUAGUUUGUUGACUGAUGUAGUGAUAUGUUUCUGACUGACCUUGGCCUAAAUUAGAGUAAGAUGACUGUUUGUGGUUAAAUGAAGAGAUUAUGUGAUGAGGAUAUCUAACUGAGUUGUGGAUGACUGUUAAGAUGUUUAGAAUGGAUUGAAGGGAAAAUUAUUAGUUUCCUAUUGGGUAGUUACCUUGCAGGUGUCCUAUGGGAUCACCACCCUUUUUGUGCAUCCUUCGGGAGCACUAGACUGAUAUGUGUUUAUGCAGAACACUAGACUGAUUUAUGCGUCCUUUGGGGUGUUAGACUGACUGUGCAAGCAAAAGUAACAAGGGAGGUAAAGGGAGGUAAAGGGAGGUAAAGGGAGGCAGACCGACGAGGGGCAGGAAGGAAGCGUGAUUGCCUUAGGGAAUAUUUUAAUUUGCUUCCGUUGUUUCUUAUUUCGUUUAAGUACUUGAGACUGUUUAGAAAAUUUUGUGGUUUAACUGAAUUCAUGAACUGAUAAUUUGUAAUUUGUAAGCAUUUCUUUGAAAGUUUUUUUUUUUGUUAUUUGAAAUAGGGCCCGAACUUAAGUUUGUUUCCUUUGAUCACAUGAUUUCAAAUGAGUUUUAAUAUAUUUUGUGCCAA